AACGCACCUUGCGCUCCUUGGUAUUCCUUGGAGCAUGCCUGUUUGAGUAUCAUGAAAUUAUCAAGACGAAUCUUUCGUUAGCUCGAUCGAUUCUGUUUUGGACUUGGGGGUCUGCAGAUUCACGUCUGCUCCUCUUAAAAGCAUUAGCUGGAUCUCAGUAGACUCGGUUCCACUCGGCGUGAUAAGUAUCACUCGCUGAGGACACUGUAACAGGUGGCCGGGACCGCGGAUGAACCGCUUCCAAUCGUCCGUUGACUCGGACAAAACACUUUAUGAUCUGAUCUCAAAUCAGGUAGGACUACCCGCUGAACUUAA
Molecule: unclassified non-coding RNA, 315 nt
Filed under: uncultured fungus
Lineage: Eukaryota; Fungi
Description: partial contains 5.8S ribosomal RNA, internal transcribed spacer 2, and large subunit ribosomal RNA
Source: RNAcentral